RNAcentral lists this ribosomal RNA (109 nucleotides) under Planctomycetota bacterium. The record is from RNAcentral. Lineage: Bacteria; Pseudomonadati; Planctomycetota.
UCUGGUGAUUUUACGGACAAGGAAACGCCUGAUCCCAUUCCGAACUCAGAAGCUAAGCUUGUUUCGGCCGAUGGUAGUCCGUAAGGGCGAGAGUAGGUGAUCGCCAGGG